AAGCUGUGAAAUUAACAGAACAAGAAAAUACACCGUCAGAUAAGGAAUUCUCUGAAGGUGAAACUGAGGAGGGAGAAGAGGCUAAUGAGCUUGCAAAAAAAGUGGAUUAGUAAGAAUACAAGUGUAUAGUAUAAGAUUGUCAUUAUCAAAUGACAAACUGAAAGUCUAAGAUGAAAAUUAAGAUAACAUGUGCUACAUGUAAACAGAUUCCAAUCAGUGAUUUAUAAUAGAGUCAUUUUAAAGAUCACUGGUCCUGUGACAUUUUAUAUUUCUUUAUACCAUUGUUUUAUUUUAUAUUUAUGUAUGUUUUAUAUUACAUUCCUCUAACAUUUCAUAUACAUGUGUAAGUUCUGUAUGUAUCUGUCUCAGGAGUAACAUGUCUCUGUACAUAAGACAGAGCUUUGACUGAUGUAAGAGUUGUGGAUGAAUCUGUUCUCUCACACAAGCACAGAUUAAUCUUUAUUAGUUAUAAUUUAUGUAGCAUAUUAUGUGCUUUCAGUCAUAUUGUCUCAUGUGUUUUGUUUAGUGAUUGUAAUCUUCUCUUGUAUUGUAUUGGAAUGUGUUGGCCUAUUAUAACUAUACAAAUAAAAAACUUGAGCAUUUUA
Molecule: long non-coding RNA, 605 nt
Organism: Carassius carassius (crucian carp)
Lineage: Eukaryota; Metazoa; Chordata; Actinopteri; Cypriniformes; Cyprinidae
Exons: 2
Source: RefSeq, a predicted model, not a curated record